UACAGAGGGUGCAAGCGUUAAUCGGAAUUACUGGGCGUAAAGCGUGUGUAGGCGGAUAUCUAAGUCGGAUGUGAAAUCCCCGGGCUUAACCUGGGAACUGCAUUCGAUACUGGAUGUCUAGAGUAUGGUAGAGGAAAGUGGAACUCCCGGUGUAGCGGUGAAAUGCGUAGAUAUCGGGAAGAACACCAGUGGCGAAGGCGGCUUUCUGGACCAAUACUGACGUUAAGGCACGAAAGCGUGGGGAGCAAACAGG
RNAcentral lists this ribosomal RNA (253 nucleotides) under uncultured bacterium. RNAcentral describes it as "partial 16S ribosomal RNA". It matches the Rfam family "Bacterial small subunit ribosomal RNA", at positions 524 to 776 of the family's 1533-position model. The record is from RNAcentral.